GACGAACGCUGGCGGCGUGCUUAACACAUGCAAGUCGAACGGAAAGGCCCUGCUUUUGUGGGGUGCUCGAGUGGCGAACGGGUGAGUAACACGUGAGUAACCUGCCCUUGACUUUGGGAUAACUUCAGGAAACUGGGGCUCAUACCGGAUAGGAGCUCCUGCUGCAUGGUGGGGGUUGGAAAGUUUCGGCGGUUGGGGAUGGACUCGCGGCUUAUCAGCUUGUUGGUGGGGUAGUGGCUUACCAAGGCUUUGACGGGUAGCCGGCCUGAGAGGGUGACCGGCCACAUUGGGACUGAGAGACGGCCCAGACUCCUACGGGAGGCAGCAGUGGGGAAUAUUACACAGUGGGCGGAAGCCUGAUGCAGCAACGCCGCGUGCGGGAUGACGGCCUUCGGGUUGUAAACCGCUUUCGCCUGUGACGAAGCGGGAGUGACGGUAAUGGGUAAAGAAGCACCGGCUAACUACGUG
Molecule: ribosomal RNA, 468 nt
Filed under: uncultured bacterium
Lineage: Bacteria
Description: partial 16S ribosomal RNA
Rfam family: Bacterial small subunit ribosomal RNA
Source: RNAcentral